Molecule: ribosomal RNA, 426 nt
Filed under: Triticum aestivum (bread wheat)
Lineage: Eukaryota; Viridiplantae; Streptophyta; Magnoliopsida; Poales; Poaceae
Description: partial small subunit ribosomal RNA
Source: RNAcentral
AUGUUUGCCAACUUCUCUGGUUUGGAGGUACAUCUCGAAACACCAGGACAUGUGUUUGGAGCAUUUCUGUUGCAGCUCCUUGGGAUGCAUCGAUUUCGUACUGCGACACGAAGUCUUAAGGUCAUCCUACAGAGAUUUGAGAGGAAAGAUGGAUGUCCACCCGAUUGUCCUUGUGAUGAGCCUAAGAACUGGAGAACCCAGACUAUCUCCCUGACCAAUCUUGAGAAGCUGGACAUCAUACAAUUCAAAGGGGUGGACCAUGAGUUUGAUUUCUUGAAACUGAUAUUUAGAUGUGCGCCAAUGCUUAACAAAGUGACCGUGGAGCUGCCAAAAGGGUUCCCAACAAAUGUUGAUUGGUGGACAAAAAUACACAACAUCUUCAUGGCAUAUCCUUCAGUGGAAGGCAACGUUCGUACUCCCGGAUGA